UACGGAGGUUGCAAGCGUUGUUCGGAAUGACUGGGCGUAAAGGGAGCGCAGGCGGUUCGUUAAGUCCGGAGUGAAAGCCCGGGGCUCAACCCCGGAGGGUCUUCGGAAACUGGCGGACUCGAGUACGGAAGAGGAGAGUGGAAUUCCAGGUGUAGCGGUGAAAUGCGUAGAUAUCUGGAGGAACACCGGUGGCGAAAGCGGCUCUCUGGUCCGAUACUGACGCUCAGGCUCGAAAGCGUGGGGAGCAAACGGG
This 253-nucleotide ribosomal RNA is filed under the name uncultured bacterium. Its description in RNAcentral is "partial 16S ribosomal RNA". It matches the Rfam family "Bacterial small subunit ribosomal RNA", at positions 524 to 776 of the family's 1533-position model. The record is from RNAcentral.